UAUUUACAAAAUAGUUUGUAUUAAUUUUUCGUUAUUUAAUUAAUCAAUAUAACCUCGAUAACCACUUUAUGCAAUAUUUAUUUGUUGUGGUUAUAAAAGGUAAGGUAAACAAGUUCAUCUUUUCUACUAAUAAAACGCAAUCAUUUAUUAAGAAUUUUUGAGAAAACGGUACUUUUCAUUCGUUCAGUUUCGCUUGUAGGUUUCUCAUGUGAAACUGUAUCCAUUAGAAACUUGUAAUGGAACAGUUUCUUUAGAAACAACAUUUAUACGAGCUUCAUCAUAAAGCACACGGAGAUUAAUUGAAUACA
Molecule: non-coding RNA, 308 nt
Organism: Cinara cedri
Lineage: Eukaryota; Metazoa; Arthropoda; Insecta; Hemiptera; Aphididae
Source: the annotation of a GenBank genome assembly